RNAcentral lists this unclassified non-coding RNA (323 nucleotides) under Hevea brasiliensis (rubber tree). The record is from RNAcentral. Lineage: Eukaryota; Viridiplantae; Streptophyta; Magnoliopsida; Malpighiales; Euphorbiaceae.
AUUUUUCUUUGUUAUUUGGCUCUCGGUCUCCCAAUCACAGAAAAAAAAAAAAAAGGGAAAGGAACAGCAAAGAACAAAGUAGAAAAUGGCUGGUAUCUUGCUUUCGGUAGCAUGCAUGAUUGCGGGCUACUUGAUCGAGUACUUAGUUGCUCCCAUUGGACCUAUGGUUGUUGAGUACUUGCUUGGUCCCAUUGCAAGUGCGAUUACUUGUAUCUACUACUACAAGAGCAACUGUCAGGGCCUGAGGAGAGAAAUUGAGAAGUUGAUGCUUGUAAGUGAGAGGGUGAAACAUAUGGUUGAUGAAGCUGAAAGAAAUGGGGAAG